GGAGAGCUGGCCGAGUCGGCUGAAGGCGAUCGCCUGCUAAGCGAUUAUAUGGGCUUAAACCUGUAUCGCGGGUUCGAAUCCCGCGCUCUCCGCCA
This 95-nucleotide transfer RNA is filed under the name Firmicutes bacterium HGW-Firmicutes-8. Its description in RNAcentral is "tRNA-Ser". It matches the Rfam family "tRNA". Rfam says of the family: Transfer RNA (tRNA) molecules are approximately 80 nucleotides in length. Their secondary structure includes four short double-helical elements and three loops (D, anti-codon, and T loops). The record is from RNAcentral. Lineage: Bacteria; Bacillati; Bacillota.